This is an RNA transcript of Sciurus carolinensis (gray squirrel), 3326 nucleotides long. RefSeq lists it as uncharacterized. Lineage: Eukaryota; Metazoa; Chordata; Mammalia; Rodentia; Sciuridae. The record is from RefSeq and is a predicted model, not a curated record. The transcript is spliced from 2 exons.
UGCAGCCGGUGGGGUCGGGCGGGAGGGCGCGGGCAGGGAGGGCGGGCAGAGCGGUGGGGGAGGAGCUACCUGAGCCAGCGCUGGACGCCAGGCUGGACGCCACACUGGAGCUUACGCUGGGGGCCAGCGGGUGAACCACUGCAAACACAGCGAGGUGGUUCUGUUCAAAAACACACAAACAACAUGAGCAGGAGCCGCACAUGACGUCAGACAGCGUGGUGCACUCCUCUCCCCGGAGCGGUGGCCAAGGGAGCCAGCUCUUCUGGCUGCGCACCAUGUGGGUCACGGCGGCCCCAGUGGGCAACAGACACAUCUGGAAAGUGAGGACAUGGCGCUUGAAAGCAGCUUGCGGGUGGACCUCGCUCCAGCAGGUGCAGGCGCAGAGACCAGGCUAGGGGAGAGCAGGCAGCCUUUCAGCGAGGUGCUGGGCUGCUCUCCCCCUCACCGCCCGCCACGCGUGCAGGAGACGACGGCCUUGGGACUGACUGGACAGCCAAGUGCACCUUCCUGUGGCCUCCUCGCCCAAGGAAAGGGAGACCCAGCCAAGCCACAGUCAUCGAUGGAAGCACAACACCCGGCACCUAUCCUUGCGGAGGACAUGGCACGUGAGACAAGAUGCAGGAAAAGGACCAAGCAGAGUGCAAGGCUGCGUCCACCACAGCAGGUAGAGCCACAGGGCACGUGAGGACGAGCCCCUGUGGGCCUCUACAGUCAGAACCCAGUGCCACCUGGGCCUUGCUUCAGAAGAGCGGGAAAAUUACCCUCAGGCCUCAGCCGCCAGGCGCAGCACAGCGUGGGGGGCCAGCGGGCAGGGCAGAGCUGUCGGCACCUCCUCCUUUUCCUCUUCCUCCCGGCUGGACACAGGCAGCGUGAGGCCCGGCCCUGCCUGCUUCCCUGCACACCGCUGAGCCUCAGGGCGCUGUCAGCACCUGGCACUUUGGUUUCCCAGCUGCCGCUAGGCUGGACCCUGACUUUGGGCCCCACAGGCGCCUCCUGCUCUUCCUCCUGCCCCAGGGCACAGCCGCCCUCAGACCUCAGGACCCGGAACCACGGUGUGUCCUGGGAGGUCGACUCACUUCACUCAGCAGGGCGUCCUUCUCAGAGGCCGGGGUGUCCACCCCGAUCCCCUUGUGGACACCCCCAAGGUAACUACUGGGCUGUGAGGGGCACCUCGCACAAUUGUCCAGAGGGAGGCGGCGGCCUCGGGAUGCACACAGGGCGACGGGAGCUGGGGCCGCGGCCUCGGAGCAGUGAGGCAACGUCUGCUGUCCUGUCCAGGCUGUGUUCUGCUGUGACGGCCCUGCGGGCACCAUCCUCGCUCCAUCCCUACUCCCUUCCUUCUGAAGGCUCACCGACACUGCACGGCACCGACAGACCACGCUUCACUCUGCCCUGUGUCCACCAGCGGGCACCGGAGCUGUCUGCACAUCUCGGCCCGAGUGGCGUGGACGCGGGCCUGGCGCGCCGCCCCGGCCUGCUCUCAGAUCCUCUGGCGCGUGCCCCGUGGUCACUGCUGCUCGCCUGUCUCCACCUCUUACUUCUGAGGAGCCCGUGCUGUUUCCCAGUGGCUGCGUCCCCAACCCCAGGAGGCUGUGUCCGCCCGUGCUUCCGGGCCCCGCCUCUGGGGACGUCGACGCAGGCCCUUGGCCGACCUAACUCAGGCGGCUUUUCCCGUUGCGAUGAAGCUGCCCAGUGCUUCUUCUGGAGGCGAGCACCUGGGCCGCGCUCUCCCCGGGGCUGCUGCUCUCGGGUGGACAGUCCCUUGGACACCUACACCACUCUGUGCUUGCCAGUGCGUCUGGUGUCCUGUCUGAGAGUCCACUGCCGACCACAGGGUCAGAGACUCCUCCAUCCACCCGCGAGUCCCUCUGGGCUACAGGCAGCAGGCCCACAGUGCCGGCCGGAGGGUGACUUGAAGUGACAUCUGAAGAGCCUGCAGGUUAGCUGAGAAAGGAGGCUGCGAGCUGCUGGGGCCACCAGUCAGUGACCAGCGUGCUGCGUCCAGGGCGGAGGUGACGAGCACAGUCAGCCUGCCUUCAAAGAGGUGCGGGUCCCACAGCCUCUGAGACCUGCGUGUGGUCCUGGCACGUCACUGGCAGUGUCUCAGCCUGCGUGGGAUGUCCCCAGGGGCUGUGUGGAUGCAGCUGCUGGGCGGCCACACCUCCACUCCAGUGACACCAGGCCACUGUGCUCUCCGCCACGUGGCCCCAGGACAGGCCUAGGGCCGAGGGGCUCCUGAGGCUGCAGGUGGCACUGCCCAGGGAAGGAGCUGUGAGGAGCAGGGAUGGCAAACGGGGAGUGUAAUGGACACGAGCCGCCCUGAUGGCCGAGGCCCCAGAAACUGAUGGGAGACAGGGACAUGGGGACCUGCAUGAAAUCGAGAGACGGGGUCGGGGGAGGAAACGCCUUCCCCGCCAUAGCAGGGCCCGUGUGGACAGGAGUCCAGGGAGUCACGGUCCACACUGUCCACCUGAGAGUCGCAGAGGCUGACCUCAGAGCCACUGCCUUCUCCAGCCUUCUGGCUGACCAGAGGUCCGGAAGCAGCUUGGGACCCAGCACGCUGGCCUGAGUCCCCGGAAGCAGCCCACUGCUGCUCCCGCAGCUCCAAGGCAGGCACAGAGUCGGACUCUGGGUGCAGGUGAGACUCGGUGCAGAGACCAAUCAGCCAAGCUGCCCAGGCCCAGGGCUGCUGAACCCUGAGCCAGGUGGGAAGAGCCGCUGGGCCCUGCCCACCUCGGACAGGACACCACCCCAGGAGUGGCAGCUGACCCAGCAGCUACCUCUGGGGUCCUCCUGCCCCGGUGCUGGUAUGAGGGCAGCCCACAGGUACCUCUGGAGUCUGUUCUGCCCACACCCUGGCUCCCCUGGACCUAAGACUGAGGAACACAGGCUUGUUGGCUGUACUUACUGGUAACAUUUCACAUUUCAGAUUGAUUUUUACAUUGACUUUAAUCUUUUUUUUUUAAUCACAUACAACUAAAUUAAGUUGCAUUUACUUUGAACUGUCCUGCUAAUUUUUUAAAUGUGCUUCAGAGGUUCCCUUAGCUACUAAGUAAUUAAACACAGGAGAUUUCAGAGGUAUCACACCGCAUGUUGAGUUUCACACGCUGCAAUGGAGCAAAGGGCCCAGAAAGGUAAGUCCCAGGGAUUUCACAGAGAAUUUUGUUUUCCCAGUGCACAUAGUUAUGUUUACACUGUACUGGAGUCCACUAAGUGCAUCAUGGAAUCGUGAUACACUGAUCUAAAAAAACAAGGUAUGGUUGGGCACAGUGGCACAUAAUUGUAAUCCCAGCAACUUCGGAGGUUAAGGCUGGAGGAUUGUGAGU